GGGCCCGUAGCUCAGCUGGGAGAGCGCCACACUGGCAGUGUGGAGGUCAUGGGUUCGAGCCCCAUCGGGUCCACCA
Molecule: transfer RNA, 76 nt
Filed under: Chloroflexota bacterium
Lineage: Bacteria; Bacillati; Chloroflexota
Also listed under: 1 other name
Description: Chloroflexi bacterium tRNA-Ala
Rfam family: tRNA
About the family: Transfer RNA (tRNA) molecules are approximately 80 nucleotides in length. Their secondary structure includes four short double-helical elements and three loops (D, anti-codon, and T loops).
Source: RNAcentral